GGGCCCGCACAAGCGGUGGAGUAUGUGGUUUAAUUCGAUGCAACACGAAGAACCUUACCAGGGUUUGAAAUCAUUUCAAAAACUCCUUGAAAAAGGAGCCUCCUUCGGGAUGAAAUGACAGGUGGUGCAUGGCUGUCGUCAGCUCGUGUUGUGAAAUGUCGAGUUAAGUCUCGUAACGAGCGAACCCAUGUCUCUUGUUGCUCACUGAGUGCUUAAGAGAGACUGCCGACCAACAUCGGAGGAAGGUGUGGAUGAUGUCAAGUCAGCAUGCCCCUUACAUCCUGGGCUACACACGUACUACAAUGGUAAGGACAAUGAGCUGCGAUCCUGCGAAGGCUAGCCAA
Molecule: ribosomal RNA, 344 nt
Filed under: uncultured bacterium
Lineage: Bacteria
Description: bacterial SSU rRNA
Rfam family: Bacterial small subunit ribosomal RNA
Source: RNAcentral